This is a long non-coding RNA of Rana temporaria (common frog), 967 nucleotides long. RefSeq lists it as uncharacterized. The transcript has 2 exons. The record is from RefSeq and is a predicted model, not a curated record. NCBI's taxonomy places the organism in Eukaryota, Metazoa, Chordata, Amphibia, Anura, Ranidae.
UAACAGCACCCUUUUAUUAUUACACUCCUAUGUUGAUUUUUCAACUUUCACUCCCCCCUUCUUUUUGUUUUCUUGUUUAUUUAUUUAUUUUAUUUAUUUAUUUUUUUCAUAUAUUUCCAACAUUUUUACUAUCACCAUAUGUAUCCACAUAUUCUUUGAUGGUCCACGUAACAUACACAUUGUAAUGUGUCUCACACAUCCCCACCCUUGUACACGCACCUUUUACCAGACUAAUAAAGUCUCUUAAUCACUUUUGUCUGCCAUUGGAGCACUCUUAUACUAUUUUUAUAUUAAGUACCUUAAUAUACACAUCAAUUCGUGACCAUUAUUUAUUGACCAAUUACCCCUUCGGGUCAUCAAUGAGUAGAUCUAAUUCAAUAAAGAAGAAAAAAGGAAAAAAUAUUUUUUUUGCUUUUUUUUGUUUUUUUCAGAUAAAAUUACAAACCUGCUGCCAGUCCCUCUCUUUUUUAUACACAUGCCUUACCCACAGAUAAUCCUACACUUUAGCACAAUAUGCUAUGAUUUAAUAUUUCUAAUUCUCUUCAAUUACACAGGGCUAACCCAUUGGGGGCACUCUGCAGGCACCGGCUCCCCUGAUCCUCGGAGGGCGUCCACUGUGCGGCUCCUUGCAACCCCCCUGGGGUCUGUUUUGGUUUCCCUCUCUCCCCCAUGGGGUUGUGGGUGGCGCUCCCUUCGGAUUUUCUAACGGCUCUGCACAUCUCUGGUUAUUACAAAACCCACUUCAUUCGUUAACGAAUCAACCAUCCCCCUGAAGAGACCACUUAGAGGUCGAAACGCGUCGGGGAACGCACAUCACACAGCAUAAAGCAAUGUUGUAUACAUUUGUCCAAUAUUGUGGAAUAUGUAUUGUAUCACCAGAUCCGUAAAGGGUUUUCUUUCAAUUUGUUAUUGCAUUUAAAAUGUAUGUUAUUGACAACCAUAAAAUAAACCAUGCUUUAUUAUAUUA